RNAcentral lists this long non-coding RNA (600 nucleotides) under Nicotiana tabacum (common tobacco). RNAcentral describes it as "long non-coding RNA (NTAB_LNC017768)". Lineage: Eukaryota; Viridiplantae; Streptophyta; Magnoliopsida; Solanales; Solanaceae. The record is from RNAcentral.
UGAAGAACAAUUAUUGAGGAACAUCUUCUCACUAAAGAAGGCACUUACUCUCACUCAAAAAGGUCAGAAUUUAGCUCAAAAAUGGCCCUAAGCGUGUAUUUAACGAAAUAGGGUCAGGUUGUAAGAACCCAAAAAUGAAGCCCCAGAACAGGAUAUGCGGUCGCAUAUGCGACCACAUAAUGGUUAUGCGGUCCGCAUAUCAGCCGCAUAAUAUGAGUGACAAAAACUGGAAGGGAACUGACCUGGUCUGCAGUCACUAUACGGCCCGCAGACCUGUUUUGCGAUCGCAUAGUGCACCGCAGAACUUCCCUCUGAUUUGAGGUCAGUUUUGCGGUCGAUAUGCGACAGCAUAAUCGAUAUGGGGACCGCAUAUCGGUCACAUAAUCCCUCUUGGGUUUUUGCAGAGGGAGUUUUGCGGUGUAUUAUGUCACCACAGAACAAGUAUUUGGACUACAUACUGGUCGCAUACUUGGGGUGAAAGUUCACGCCCCUGAGGGCCAUUUCUGCGGUCACUUUGCGAACCGCAUAACCAUUAUGCGGUCGCAUAUGCGACCACAGAACUGUGUCAAGGCACCCAUUUUCUUAAUUUAAAACCCGACC